GGGGGGAGGGAGGAGAGAGAGAGAGAGAGAGAAGCAAGGGGUAUGCUUUUUGGACCUUGGUUGGGAGCAGCUUUUUGGAAGCGUGAGCAGGAGGAGGGGGAAGUGGAGUUGGGACUGGAAAAGAUAGGAAUUUGCUGCCUCUCAUUUAUUCCCCGGUCUAGCAUUCCCGUUUCACCGUUGGAUCACCCACCGCACAGCUCUCAAAGCGCUGCGAACUCGGCCAUUCAUCCGUCCGCACAGCUCUCAAAGCGACCUGUAGAUGAUCCAACGGUGGAUCUGAGCGAAGAAGGGGAAUCCUUCGUUCGCGCGAAAGAUACGCCCCCGGACCCGUCUCCAAGCUACUCCCAAACCACUUCAAUAUUACAGGACUGCCCUUUCACAGGACAGGGUUGACGCGGGGAGCCGGGUCGUAUCUUCCGCGCAAAAGAAGGAUUCGCGCCAUCGGAUCAUCCACCGAUCGCUUUGAGAGCUGUGCGACCGGAUAAUUGGAGAGUUCGGAGCGCUUCGAGGGCUGUGCGAUGGGUGAACCAACG
RNAcentral lists this long non-coding RNA (533 nucleotides) under Phoenix dactylifera (date palm). Its description in RNAcentral is "long non-coding RNA (PDAC_LNC000370)". The record is from RNAcentral. Lineage: Eukaryota; Viridiplantae; Streptophyta; Magnoliopsida; Arecales; Arecaceae.